AAUAAAACUGUGAAGAGAAGAAGUAGAAGUCAUGGGUUUUCAACAGAAAGUUACCGGAUGAUGAGAGGGGCAGAAAACGGAUUUUGAAUACAUCUCUGAGUUACAAAUUGAAAGGAUUGAAUUACACAAUCUCAGUAGACUUUUGUCGGCUGCCACCGUUAUAUGGAUAAGGUAUAAGCAUUUUUUGCCGUACCUGACGAGGUUUGCACAGUAAUGUGUAAACAAAUUGAGGUGGUAACACGUGAGCAAAGCUCCCGUCCUCUGC
RNAcentral lists this non-coding RNA (265 nucleotides) under Clostridium pasteurianum. Its description in RNAcentral is "T-box sequence". It matches the Rfam family "T-box leader". Rfam says of the family: Uncharged tRNA acts as the effector for transcription antitermination of genes in the T-box leader family. T-boxes are found upstream of many aminoacyl-tRNA synthetase genes and some amino acid biosynthetic genes usually in Gram-positive bacteria. The anticodon of a specific tRNA base pairs to a specifier sequence within the T-box motif, and the NCCA acceptor tail of the tRNA base pairs to a conserved bulge in the T-box antiterminator hairpin. The record is from RNAcentral. Lineage: Bacteria; Bacillati; Bacillota; Clostridia; Eubacteriales; Clostridiaceae.